RNAcentral lists this ribosomal RNA (460 nucleotides) under uncultured bacterium. RNAcentral's name for it is "partial 16S ribosomal RNA". It matches the Rfam family "Bacterial small subunit ribosomal RNA", at positions 338 to 795 of the family's 1533-position model. The record is from RNAcentral.
CCUACGGGUGGCUGCAGUGAGGAAUAUUGGUCAAUGGGCGCGAGCCUGAACCAGCCAAGUAGCGUGAAGGAUGCCUGCCCUACGGGUUGUAAACUUCUUUUAUAAGGGAAUAAAGUGAGGCACGUGUGCCUUUUUGUAUGUUUUUUAUGAAUAAGGAUCGGCUAACUCCGUGCCAGCAGCCGCGGUUAUACGGGGGAUCCGAGCGUUAUCCGGAUUUUGUGGGUUUAAAGGGAGCGUAGAUGGGUUGUUAAGUCAGUUGUGAAAGUUUGCGGCUCAACCGUAAAAUUGCAAUUGAUACUGGCAGCCUUGAGUACAGUUGGGGUAGGCGGAAUUCGUGGUGUAGCGGUGAAAUGCUUAGAUAUCACGAAGAACUCCGAUUGCGAAGGCAGCCUACUAAGCUGCCACUGACGUUGAUGCUCGAAAGUGUGGGUAUCAAACAGGAUUAGAUACCCUGGUAGUC